GGGUGGCCGGAGGGGUUGGCUGUUAUCUUUGGUUAUCUAGCUGUAUGAGUGUUAUUCAUUCUUCAUAAAGCUAGAUAACCGAAAGUAACAAGAAUCCCAUUACACACCUGAAAGGCAUCACCCCACCUUGAGAUCUGUACUCCUCCCCUCUCCUCUUCUCUUUCCCUUCCUAUGUCUCCCUCUCUCUCCUCCUCAAUCUCUGCAUCUUUUUGCAAGAGCAAGCCACAAAAUGGCCUCCAUCACUGCUGAUAGAGAAGACCAACCAUCCUUGAUACCAGGGAAAGGAAUGAGUGAAGUAUUGGGGCAGGUCGGUUGUGUGGCUGUCGUCCUGCUGGCGUUGCUGCUCCCCUCCCCUUCGCUGCUCGCCUGCCCCCUUCCUCCCAUCACGAGAUGCAGUUUGCACAAAGCCACCAUCUUAGAGCAUGCGGGCAUUAAAUGGAAGUGGAAAAUAAGCAGGUUUUUAGAGUCAAGUCGAAUAAAGUGACAUCCAUUAAAUGGAAGAGCGGAGCUGAAACGGGCUGAUGGAGUCAGACGGGUCUUUACUAUGCAUGUGCCCCAACAUCAGAUAAAAGACAGCACUUUAAUUGUUCUACAUUACUUCAGUCUUAGCAUUUUUGAUGCAGUUAUAGCAUCUAAUGUUCCAAGGGCUGUAUGUUGCGAGCAAAGUGUGUGUGUGUGUGGGUGAGAAACUCUUUAUACGGGUCCAAGUCAAAGCACUCAACAAAUUGUGUAUUUGUUCAAAUGCACUUUUUGGGGAUUCUCAAAGUAAAAAGGUUUUAUUCGGGUAGUUCUAUAGUGAAUUUAAUGAGGGUUUUCUAGAAAAUGUCAUUUUAAAGGCCAAUCAUUUAGGUACUUUUUGAUAAAAAAGAAAAGACAGAGAUAAAAAAAUCUCUUUAAAUCAAUUUAACGCAGUUUAACACUCAGAUCUAAUCUGUCUUGGUACAAUCUUUAGCAUAAUGCACUUUAUAACACACAAAUUGAUUUUUUUAAUUUUAGUACUUUUCAAUAUUAAAGGAAAAUGUAGUGGCCUGUGUUCAUUCCCUAAUGUACUUCUCUAAUAACUGAUUACUAAUUGAAAUCUAACAUGAAUUAUUAGAAAUGGCGUGUGAGGCUCUGUAGAUUCUGCAUGUAUGAGUGUGAGACCCACGGCAGCGGUGAACGAUACUGCACUCUGAUUGGACAGCUCAGUGUGUUGUGCAUCACAUACUUGUUGGACAGAGAGCUGUUGUCUUUCAUUUCUAUGCAAUUGUGUUGGGCUUGUAAUCACCUGGAAGAGAAGGCAGAUCAGAGCAGCUAUUUAUGACAGCAGGUUAAAUCGGUUUUAAGGAAAGGAAUAUUUAGCAGAAUAUAUAUGAAUAUUUCAUUCCUACUAAAACUGGUUUCAACAGCAAACUGUGAAGUCAUUGGCUACUAAAAAGCAGCUUCAUCUAGCUUUUGUGUGUUUUUUUUUAAUUUUUGUUUCAGCACUGAAAAUAGAAACAAAUUUAAGGGGUAUUAAAUGCUCUGUAUGUCUCUGCAUUUUGUAUUACAAUCAAUCAUGGCUGAAGAGAAAAUUCAGUUCAAUAGGCA
Molecule: long non-coding RNA, 1569 nt
Filed under: Sinocyclocheilus grahami
Lineage: Eukaryota; Metazoa; Chordata; Actinopteri; Cypriniformes; Cyprinidae
Description: lncRNA (ENSSGRG00000045520.1)
Rfam family: mir-9/mir-79 microRNA precursor family (bases 17-94)
Source: RNAcentral